GAUGAACGCUGGCGGCGUGCCUAAUACAUGCAAGUCGAGCGAACAGACGAGGAGCUUGCUCCUCUGACGUUAGCGGCGGACGGGUGAGUAACACGUGGAUAACCUACCUAUAAGACUGGGAUAACUUCGGGAAACCGGAGCUAAUACCGGAUAAUAUAUUGAACCGCAUGGUUCAAUAGUGAAAGACGGUUUUGCUGUCACUUAUAGAUGGAUCCGCGCCGCAUUAGCUAGUUGGUAAGGUAACGGCAUACCAAGGCAACGAUGCGUAGCCGACCUGAGAGGGUGAUCGGCCACACUGGAACUGAGACACGGUCCAGACUCCUACGGGAGGCAGCAGUAGGGAAUCUUCCGCAAUGGGCGAAAGCCUGACGGAGCAACGCCGCGUGAGUGAUGAAGGUCUUCGGAUCGUAAAACUCUGUUAUUAGGGAAGAACAAAUGUGUAAGUAACUAUGCACGUCUUGACGGUACCUAAACAGAAAGCCACGGCUAACUACGUG
RNAcentral lists this ribosomal RNA (497 nucleotides) under uncultured bacterium. Its description in RNAcentral is "partial 16S ribosomal RNA". It matches the Rfam family "Bacterial small subunit ribosomal RNA", at positions 28 to 507 of the family's 1533-position model. The record is from RNAcentral.